This 464-nucleotide ribosomal RNA is filed under the name uncultured bacterium. Its description in RNAcentral is "bacterial SSU rRNA". It matches the Rfam family "Bacterial small subunit ribosomal RNA", at positions 331 to 792 of the family's 1533-position model. The record is from RNAcentral.
CCAGACUCCUACGGGAGGCAGCAGUGAGGAAUAUUGUUCAAUGGUCGGGAGCCUGAACCAGCCAAGCCGCGUGAGGGAAGAAGGUACAGCGUAUCGUAAACCUCUUUUGUCAGGGAACAAAGGCGGGGACUAGUCCCCGGAUGAGGGUACCUGAAGAAAAAGCAUCGGCUAACUACGUGCCAGCAGCCGCGGUAAUACGUAGGGGGCAAGCGUUAUCCGGAUUUACUGGGUGUAAAGGGGGCGCAGACGGCGAUGCAAGCCAGGAGUGAAAGCCCGGGGCCCAACCACGGGACUGCUCUUGGAACUGCGUGGCUGGAGUGCAGGAGGGGCAGGCGGAAUUCCUGGUGUAGCGGUGAAAUGAGUAGAUAUAAGGAGGAACACCGGUGGAGAAGGCGGCCUGCUGGAAUGCAACUGGAGUUGAGGCAAGAAAGAGUGGGGAGCAAACAGGAUUAGAUACCCUCGUA